RNAcentral lists this ribosomal RNA (253 nucleotides) under uncultured bacterium. RNAcentral describes it as "partial 16S ribosomal RNA". It matches the Rfam family "Bacterial small subunit ribosomal RNA", at positions 524 to 776 of the family's 1533-position model. The record is from RNAcentral.
UACGGAGGGUGCGAGCGUUGUCCGGAAUCACUGGGCGUAAAGGGCGCGUAGGCGGUGCGGGGAGUCAACGGUGAAAGCUCGGCGCUCAACGCCGAGUCGGCCGUCGAUACUCCCGUGCUCGAGCACUGUAGAGGCAGGUGGAAUUCCGGGUGUAGCGGUGGAAUGCGUAGAGAUCCGGAAGAACACCGGUGGCGAAGGCGGCCUGCUGGGCAGUAGCUGACGCUGAGGCGCGACAGCGUGGGGAGCAAACAGG